GGAUGUGAGGGGGAUCUGGCUGCAACAUCUGUCACCCCACUGAUCGCCAGGGUUGAUUUGGCUGAUCUGGCUGGCUAGGCGGGUGUCCCCCUCCUCCCUCACUGCUCCAUGUGGGUCCCUCCCGAAGAGGACGACCACCCCCGAUAGAGGAGGACCAUUUCCUCAGUCAAGGGUAUACGAGUAGCUGCGCUCCCCUGCUAGAACCUCCAAACAAGCUCUCAAGAGAAUCAGAAAAGGCCCGGGGAUUUAGCUCAGUGGUUCCAC
Molecule: non-coding RNA, 264 nt
Organism: Heterocephalus glaber (naked mole-rat)
Lineage: Eukaryota; Metazoa; Chordata; Mammalia; Rodentia; Bathyergidae
Source: Rfam